UACGUAGGGAGCAAGCGUUGUUCGGAUUUACUGGGCGUAAAGGGCGCGUAGGCGGCGCGGUAGGUCACUUGUGAAAUCUCUGAGCUUAACUCAGAACGGCCAAGUGAUACUGCAGUGCUAGAGUGCAGAAGGGGCAAUCGGAAUUCUUGGUGUAGCGGUGAAAUGCGUAGAUAUCAAGAGGAACACCUGAGGCGAAGGCGGGUUGCUAGGCUGACACUGACGCUGAUGCGCGAAAGCCAGGGGAGCAAACGGG
RNAcentral lists this ribosomal RNA (253 nucleotides) under uncultured bacterium. Its description in RNAcentral is "partial 16S ribosomal RNA". It matches the Rfam family "Bacterial small subunit ribosomal RNA", at positions 524 to 776 of the family's 1533-position model. The record is from RNAcentral.